This 497-nucleotide ribosomal RNA is filed under the name uncultured bacterium. Its description in RNAcentral is "partial 16S ribosomal RNA". It matches the Rfam family "Bacterial small subunit ribosomal RNA", at positions 28 to 507 of the family's 1533-position model. The record is from RNAcentral.
GACGAACGCUGGCGGCGUGCCUAAUCCAUGCACGUUGAGCGCUGAAUGUUGGUACUUGUCCCAACUGGAUGAGCAGCGAACGGGUGAGUCACGCGUGGGUAAUCUGCCUUUGAGCGGGGGACAACAUUUGGAAACGAAUGCUAAUACCGCAUAAAAACUUUAAACACAAGGCUUAAGUUUGAAAGAUGCAAUUGCAUCACUCAAAGAUGAUCCCGCGUUGUAUUAGCUAGUUGGUGAGGUAAAGGCUCACCAAGGCGAUGAUACAUAGCCGACCUGAGAGGGAGAGAGGCCACAUUGGGACUGAGACACGGCCCAAACUCCUACGGGAGGCAGCAGUAGGGAAUCUUCGGAAAUGAACGAAAGUCUGACCGAGCAACGCCGCGUGAGAGAAGAAGGUGUUCGGAUCGUAAAACUCUGUUGGUAGAGAAGAACGUUGGUGAGAGUGGAAAGCGCAACAAGUGACGGGAACUACCCAGAAGGGGACGGCUAACUACGUG